UUCUGAUUGGCGAAGCCGCGAGCGGUGCGCGAUGACGUCAUGGCCAAGCGACGUUGCUAUAAGACCGCGGUCCGGCGGAAGCGUCUCUCUUUGUCACGGGCGUGAGUUCGUAGGCGCGGCGGGCCUAGAGAAGCCAACAUGCCGGUUGCCAGAAGUUGGGUUUGUCGCAAAACCUAUGUGACCCCACGGAGACCCUUCGAGAAAUCCCGUCUCGACCAGGAACUGAAGCUGAUCGGAGAGUAUGGGCUCCGGAACAAGCGUGAGGUCUGGAGGGUCAAAUUUACCCUGGCUAAGAUCCGCAAGGCCGCCCGGGAGCUGCUGACACUGGACGAAAAGGACCCGCGGCGUCUUUUUGAAGGCAAUGCUCUGCUGAGGCGACUUGUUCGCAUUGGGGUGCUGGAUGAAGGCAAGAUGAAGCUGGAUUACAUCCUGGGCCUGAAAAUUGAGGAUUUCUUGGAGAGGCGGCUGCAGACCCAGGUCUUUAAACUGGGUCUGGCCAAAUCUAUUCACCAUGCCCGUGUGCUCAUCCGCCAGCGUCAUAUCAGCCUUCGGAGCUGACAAAUCUGAGCUUACCCUGGGGGUUCAGAGUGAAAGCUUAUGGGGGAAUUGGGGACAGCUUUGUCUCCCUCCCCAUAGCCCAGCGCAAGUGUCACUGCGGCUCAAGCCGUACACCUUGCGAAGUUCUCUGCCAGGCAUGCAAGCAGCUGGACAGGGUCCGCAAGCAGGUGGUGAACAUUCCAUCCUUCAUUGUUCGUCUGGACUCCCAGAAGCACAUUGAUUUCUCCCUCCGUUCUCCUUAUGGUGGUGGCCGCCCAGGCCGAGU
Molecule: RNA transcript, 823 nt
Organism: Peromyscus californicus insignis
Lineage: Eukaryota; Metazoa; Chordata; Mammalia; Rodentia; Cricetidae
Gene: Rps9
Gene name: ribosomal protein S9
Exons: 6
Source: RefSeq, a predicted model, not a curated record